CAUGCAAGUCGAGCGAAGCAGUUAAGAAGAUUCUUCGGAUGAUUCUCAACUGACUGAGCGGCGGACGGGUGAGUAACGCGUGGGUGACCUGCCCCAUACCGGGGGAUAACAGCUGGAAACGGCUGCUAAUACCGCAUAAGCGCACAGAGCUGCAUGGCUCGGUGUGAAAAACUCCGGUGGUAUGGGAUGGGCCCGCGUCUGAUUAGGCAGUUGGCGGGGUAACGGCCCACCAAACCGACGAUCAGUAGCCGGCCUGAGAGGGCGACCGGCCACAUUGGGACUGAGACACGGCCCAAACUCCUACGGGAGGCAGCAGUGGGGAAUAUUGCACAAUGGGGGAAACCCUGAUGCAGCGACGCCGCGUGAGCGAAGAAGUAUUUCGGUAUGUAAAGCUCUAUCAGCAGGGAAGAUAAUGACGGUACCUGACUAAGAAGCCCCGGCUAACUACGUGCCAGCAGCCGCGGUAAUACGUAGGGGGCAAGCGUUAUCCGGAUUUACUGGGUGUAAAGGGAGCGUAGACGGCAAGGCAAGUCUGAUGUGAAAACCCAGGGCUUAACCCUGGGACUGCAUUGGAAACUGUCUGGCUCGAGUGCCGGAGAGGUAAGCGGAAUUCCUAGUGUAGCGGUGAAAUGC
RNAcentral lists this ribosomal RNA (633 nucleotides) under uncultured bacterium. RNAcentral's name for it is "bacterial SSU rRNA". It matches the Rfam family "Bacterial small subunit ribosomal RNA", at positions 54 to 689 of the family's 1533-position model. The record is from RNAcentral.